RNAcentral lists this ribosomal RNA (132 nucleotides) under Escherichia coli. RNAcentral's name for it is "partial 16S ribosomal RNA". It matches the Rfam family "Bacterial small subunit ribosomal RNA", at positions 1 to 123 of the family's 1533-position model. The record is from RNAcentral. Lineage: Bacteria; Pseudomonadati; Pseudomonadota; Gammaproteobacteria; Enterobacterales; Enterobacteriaceae.
UUAAAUUGAAGAGUUUGAUCAUGGCUCAGAUUGAACGCUGGCGGCAGGCCUAACACAUGCAAGUCGAACGGUAACAGGAAGCAGCUUGCUGCUUCGCUGACGAGUGGCGGACGGGUGAGUAAUGAGUGGGGA